GUAGUCGUGGUUGAGUGGUUAAGGCGAUGGACUUGAAAUCCAUUGGGGUCUCUCCGAGCAGGUUCGAAUCCUGCCGACUACA
Molecule: transfer RNA, 82 nt
Filed under: Danio rerio (zebrafish)
Lineage: Eukaryota; Metazoa; Chordata; Actinopteri; Cypriniformes; Danionidae
Description: tRNA-Ser (TGA) (tRNA-Ser-TGA-93-1)
Rfam family: tRNA
About the family: Transfer RNA (tRNA) molecules are approximately 80 nucleotides in length. Their secondary structure includes four short double-helical elements and three loops (D, anti-codon, and T loops). Further hydrogen bonds mediate the characteristic L-shaped molecular structure. tRNAs have two regions of fundamental functional importance: the anti-codon, which is responsible for specific mRNA codon recognition, and the 3' end, to which the tRNAs corresponding amino acid is attached (by aminoacyl-tRNA synthetases). tRNAs cope with the degeneracy of the genetic code in two manners: having more than one tRNA (with a specific anti-codon) for a particular amino acid; and 'wobble' base-pairing, i.e. permitting non-standard base-pairing at the 3rd anti-codon position.
Source: Rfam by way of RNAcentral